This 103-nucleotide signal recognition particle RNA is filed under the name uncultured Alloprevotella sp. RNAcentral describes it as "Bacteroidales small SRP". It matches the Rfam family "Bacteroidales small SRP". From Rfam's summary of the family: The non-coding component of the signal recognition particle in Bacteroides The record is from RNAcentral. Lineage: Bacteria; Pseudomonadati; Bacteroidota; Bacteroidia; Bacteroidales; Prevotellaceae.
AAACGGGUAGGUGCUGCACGGCCAGCUCCUUUCAAAUCCUCCAGGGCUUGACCGCAGCAAAGGUAGAAGGUCGUAGCGGCGCGAUGCAGAGAGCUUACCCACC